Molecule: ribosomal RNA, 387 nt
Filed under: uncultured Chrysophyceae
Lineage: Eukaryota; Chrysophyceae
Description: partial small subunit ribosomal RNA
Rfam family: Eukaryotic small subunit ribosomal RNA
Source: RNAcentral
GCUUGUCUCAAAGAUUAAGCCAUGCAUGUCUUAGUGUAAAUAACUCUUAUGAAACUGCGAAUGGCUCAUUAAAUCAGUUAUCAAAUACGUGAUGGUCGCCUACUACAUGGAUAACCGUAGUAAUUCUAGAGCUAAUACAUGCAUAAAACCCUAACUUCUGGAAAGGGUGUAUUUAUUAGAUGGAAACCAAUGCGGGGUAACCCGGAAUAUGGUGAUUCAUAAUAACUUUCGGAUCGAUUUAUCGAUGCAUCAUUCAAGUUUCUGCCCUAUCAGCUUUGGAUGGUAGGGUAUUGGCCUACCAUGGUGGUAACGGGUGACGGAGGAUUAGGGUUCGAUUCCGGAGAGGGAGCCUGAGAAACGGCUACCACAUCCAAGGAAGGCAGCAGG